This 466-nucleotide ribosomal RNA is filed under the name uncultured bacterium. RNAcentral's name for it is "partial 16S ribosomal RNA". It matches the Rfam family "Bacterial small subunit ribosomal RNA", at positions 28 to 507 of the family's 1533-position model. The record is from RNAcentral.
GACGAACGCCGGCGGCGUGCUUAACACAUGCAAGUCGAACGGAAAGGCCCAGCUUGCUGGGUACUCGAGUGGCGAACGGGUGAGUAACACGUGGGUGAUCUGCCCCUGACUUUGGGAUAAGCCUGGGAAACUGGGUCUAAUACCGGAUAUGACCUUACAUCGCAUGGUGUUUGGUGGAAAGCUUUUGCGGUUGGGGAUGGGCCCGCGGCCUAUCAGCUUGUUGGUGGGGUAAUGGCCUACCAAGGCGACGACGGGUAGCCGACCUGAGAGGGUGAUCGGCCACACUGGGACUGAGACACGGCCCAGACUCCUACGGGAGGCAGCAGUGGGGAAUAUUGCACAAUGGGCGCAAGCCUGAUGCAGCGACGCCGCGUGAGGGAUGACGGCCUUCGGGUUGUAAACCUCUUUCACCAGGGGCGAAGCGUGAGUGACGGUACCUGGAGAAGAAGCACCGGCCAACUACGUG